This 328-nucleotide ribosomal RNA is filed under the name uncultured eukaryote. Its description in RNAcentral is "partial 18S ribosomal RNA". It matches the Rfam family "Eukaryotic small subunit ribosomal RNA", at positions 1470 to 1796 of the family's 1831-position model. The record is from RNAcentral.
CCCUUAGACGUUCUGGGCCGCACGCGCGCUACACUGACGGAGCCAGCGAGUAUAAACCUUGGCCGAGAGGUCUGGGAAAUCUUGUGAAACUCCGUCGUGCUGGGGAUAGAGCAUUGUAAUUAUUGCUCUUCAACGAGGAAUUCCUAGUAAGCGCAAGUCAUCAGCUUGCGUUGAUUACGUCCCUGCCCUUUGUACACACCGCCCGUCGCUACUACCGAUUGAAUGGCUUAGUGAGGUUUCCGGAUUGGUUUAGAGAAGGGGGCAACUCCAUCUUGGAACCGAGAAGCUAGUCAAACUUGGUCAUUUAGAGGAAGUAAAAGUCGUAACA